UGCUCCUCCGAAUAGGGACAGCCCUUCCUCUAGCGCUAAUCUGUUGGUGCAAGAUUCUAUAUGGCAUCGAAAUGCUAGAAUGGAUGGCAAAAGGGGUCUCUCGGGGGUAUGACCUGCAUAAAAGUGCUAAUCAGAGGUUGCUCCGGUGGGGACCCUCCGACUGUUAGGUUAGAAUUCUUGUUCAAUAGAUGGAGCAUGAGAGGUAGAAUAAUGAUGUACCUUUUUUAGGAUCUCCUUUGGACCUCCUUUUAUGGAUGAAGGUGGGAGCUUUCAUUGGUAAGUCGAUUAGCAUGAUCCCAUCUGAUUGGGAUGCAAUUUGUGUGUAGUAACGAAACUAUUGUUCGAAACUCUCAGGAUAUGGUGGUUAUGAUUGCCUUAUC
RNAcentral lists this long non-coding RNA (380 nucleotides) under Elaeis guineensis (African oil palm). Its description in RNAcentral is "long non-coding RNA (EGUI_LNC048104)". Lineage: Eukaryota; Viridiplantae; Streptophyta; Magnoliopsida; Arecales; Arecaceae. The record is from RNAcentral.